AGGCUGCGCCUAGGAGCAGGACUCGCUGCCGGGACCCCUUCAUGCGCAGACGGGAUACUGCAGCAGUGCUAUCAGAUCCAAACUCAAGUCUCCAUGGAUGAAUAAAUGAAUGGAUUUAUUUUAUUGCAGCACUUGGCCCUCAGUAAAUGUCAGAGAAUGCUUCAAGCAAGAUGUUUUAAAGUACAAGGCAUAAAUGCUGUUGGAACUAUUACUGAUGAUCUCUACCAUGCCCUCAAGAACUUUUCCAAGCUGGGUACUGAGGUACUACCAAAGCUGUGGCAAAAGGCAGAGUUCAGGAUUCCCCUUGUCUGAAAGUUUUUGGGUGCAGAAAAGCCUAUGACCAGAGUUUUAUGUCUUCAGAAGACACAGCAGAACUCCUCACACUGAGACCUGAGUUGGCUCCAAGAGCCACACAGCCCCAUGGCUUUGGCUCCAGGGGAACCACAGCAGUUCCAAGGUCCUGGGAGACUUGGAUGGAGCGGCCUGGCCCAUUGGACCAUUCAUUUGAUGCAAGAGCCAUGAAAGGCUCAGAUUUAUGUCACAGAAGCAGUACUUCUUCCAUUAGCUAUUUAUGGAUUUAUGCAUCUUUGCAUUUCUCAACUGUAAAUAAAAUAAAUAACAGGCACUGAAAGCCUGGCAGCAUGACAGGGACCUUUAUAGGAUGCAGAACAAGGACAAAAUUAAAAGCAGAGAGAGUAUAUAAAUCUGUGACAGGGCUUCUGACACUUGCGUGGGUAAUUGCUGCACUCUGUGCUUUACAGUCCUCAUUACAUGUGUGUGGGGUCAGAGAGAGUAUACAUCCUCCAGAGAGGAUGAGAUUCUUGCUGUAACGUUAGACCAGCCUUUCAUAGGAAAACCUUGGAGAGACUUGGCCUUGUGUAGGCAAAUGUGAUGGCUGCCACCAGCAAACUGGCUUAAUUAUUUGUAAGAAAGCUUUGGGGGGUAGGGAUGAUGAAAGGCAAUAUUCAAAUUCAUUUGGAUGAAAGCAGAAUUCAACAAGCUCUUUGGAUUGUGGACAAAAUUCAGACAGAGAUGGCCAAGGAAAGCCUCACUGACUUGUGAGACCCCUUGAAGGGCACAGCAAAACUACUUGGCUCGACUUGGUCCUAUGUGCAUGCAGCACCGGCACUGGGUGGGAAACUACAAUGGAGGGGCAGUGAUUUGCACUACUUUGCCUUUCAUCAUCUGACUGCUCCUGGCUUGCUGGCCGUGCCUGAGCUCCCAGAUUUACUAGGAUAAUAAGGUUCCCAUCAAAAAGCAACUUUAAGCAUGUGCUUAACUUUCACCACAUUCAGCUUAACUCCAUGGCCUUCUUGCAACUUAAGGGUGCAUUCUGUUGCCUUGCUGAAUUUAGGCUUGAAGUUAGAACAGAUGUGUACACACAAACAAAUAUGUAUGUGUGCAUAUAUACCGACAUAUAAAAUGCAUAUAAUACUUGCUGUCAUUAUAGCAACAGAAUGUCUGUGUGCUGCUGAUGCCUUGGUAACAGCGUCUGUAUAUGUCUACAUAUGUGUAUAAGGGCUGCCAUGGGGUUGGGUGUAGCAUAUACUUAAAUAAAGCUGUAAAAAGCAUAGCAAUAGGAAAACAUAAUGAGACAUCUAUCUGCCAAAUCAUUAUCCCUUUUACACGUCCUUACAACCCCUGCCUCCAGUUCUGCUCUUUGUUAUAAGUAAGGAAGAGUGAAAAGUCUCUGGAACAUCCUUUUUUUUUUCCUGUGUUUCUCCCCAAAGCCCAACAUGUACUAGACAAAGGAUGGAUAAAAUUUGGAGAAAAAUAACAGUAUUACAACACAUUGACAUGUGGACAGGAGUGAAACCUGUUUUCUUUGGUGAAUCCUUUACCCCUGAAGAGUGAGUGCAACAGAUCGUCAGUAAUAACGCACCAGGGAGAAGGAAAGCAGCAUGAAGUCAAAUGUAUCUACCUUGGUCUAGUCCAAAUGGCAAGAAAUAGCUGUUCUCCACAGCAACCAUAACAAUUAGACAUAGUUCUGAAUCCCUGAUUUUCUCAUCUAAUAGUUAACACCAAAAAACACCUAUGCCAUCAUUGAUAUCUAAACUGUUGCAGUAAGAUUAGUGAAUUUGUUGGGUACCUUCUGAACAGAAAUAAGUCGGCAUGCUCAUGUUCAUAGCCAGAAUUUGAGGCACGCAUUGCUAUACU
Pezoporus occidentalis (night parrot) is the source of this 2157-nucleotide long non-coding RNA. RefSeq lists it as uncharacterized. Lineage: Eukaryota; Metazoa; Chordata; Aves; Psittaciformes; Psittacidae. The transcript is spliced from 4 exons. The record is from RefSeq and is a predicted model, not a curated record.